RNAcentral lists this ribosomal RNA (245 nucleotides) under uncultured bacterium. RNAcentral describes it as "partial 16S ribosomal RNA". It matches the Rfam family "Bacterial small subunit ribosomal RNA", at positions 524 to 768 of the family's 1533-position model. The record is from RNAcentral.
GACGUAGGAUGCGAGCGUUGUCCGGAUUUAUUGGGCGUAAAGAGUUCGUAGGUGGCAUAUCAAGUCUGGUGUUAAAGCCCGGAGCUCAACUCCGGUUCGGCAUUGGAUACUGAUAAGCUUGAGUGCAGAAGAGGCAAGGGGAAUUCCCAGUGUAGCGGUGAAAUGCGUAGAUAUUGGGAGGAACACCGGUGGCGUAAGCGUCUUGCUGGUCUGUUACUGACACUGAGGAACGAAAGCCAGGGGAG